CUACGGGGCGCACCAGUGGGGAAUAUUGGACAAUGGGGGGAACCCUGAUCCAGCCAUGCCGCGUGUGUGAAGAAGGCCUUUUGGUUGUAAAGCACUUUAAGCAGUGAAGAAGACUCUUCGGUUAAUACCCGGGGACGAUGACAUUAGCUGCAGAAUAAGCACCGGCUAACUCUGUGCCAGCAGCCGCGGUAAUACAGAGGGUGCAAGCGUUAAUCGGAAUUACUGGGCGUAAAGCGAGCGUAGGUGGCUUGAUAAGUCAGAUGUGAAAUCCCCGGGCUUAACCUGGGAACUGCAUCUGAAACUGUUGGGCUAGAGUAGGUGAGAGGGAAGUAGAAUUUCAGGUGUAGCGGUGAAAUGCGUAGAGAUCUGAAGGAAUACCGAUGGCGAAGGCAGCUUCCUGGCAUCAUACUGACACUGAGGCUCGAAAGCGUGGGUAGCAAACAGGAUUAGAUACCCGAGUAGUC
This 464-nucleotide ribosomal RNA is filed under the name uncultured bacterium. Its description in RNAcentral is "partial 16S ribosomal RNA". It matches the Rfam family "Bacterial small subunit ribosomal RNA", at positions 339 to 795 of the family's 1533-position model. The record is from RNAcentral.